AUAAUAAUUUGUUCUUUAAUUUAGGACUAGAAUGAAUGAUUUGACGAGAUUAAAGCUGUCUUAUAAUUAUUAAUUAUUGAAUUUAAUUUUUAAGUUAAAAAGCUUAAAUUUUAUUAGAGGACGAGAAGACCCUAUAGAGUUUUAUAAUUAAAUUAAUUUAAUUAAUUAAUUAUUUUUAUAAAAUUAAUAUAAUUAUUUUGUUGGGGUGAUAAUUAAAUUUAAUAAACUUUUUAUUUAAUUUUACAUUAAUUAAUGAAUUUUUGAUCCUAUUUUUUAGAUUAAUAGAUUAAAUUACCUUAGGGAUAACAGCGUUAUUUUUUUUAAAGUUCUUAUUGACAUAAAAAAUUGC
This 349-nucleotide ribosomal RNA is filed under the name Neodiprion sertifer (European pine sawfly). RNAcentral describes it as "partial 16S ribosomal RNA". The record is from RNAcentral. Lineage: Eukaryota; Metazoa; Arthropoda; Insecta; Hymenoptera; Diprionidae.